This 253-nucleotide ribosomal RNA is filed under the name uncultured bacterium. RNAcentral's name for it is "partial 16S ribosomal RNA". It matches the Rfam family "Bacterial small subunit ribosomal RNA", at positions 524 to 776 of the family's 1533-position model. The record is from RNAcentral.
UACGAAGGUGGCAAGCGUUGUUCGGAAUUACUGGGCGUAAAGGGCGCGUAGGCGGCCUGUUAAGUCGGACGUGAAAUCCCUCGGCUCAACCGGGGAACUGCGUCUGAUACUGGCGGGCUUGAAUUCGGGAGAGGGAUGUGGAAUUCCAGGUGUAGCGGUGAAAUGCGUAGAUAUCUGGAGGAACACCGGUGGCGAAGGCGGCAUCCUGGACCGACAUUGACGCUGAGGCGCGAAAGCCAGGGGAGCAAACGGG